This 842-nucleotide long non-coding RNA is filed under the name Brassica napus (rape). RNAcentral's name for it is "long non-coding RNA (BNAP_LNC008698)". Lineage: Eukaryota; Viridiplantae; Streptophyta; Magnoliopsida; Brassicales; Brassicaceae. The record is from RNAcentral.
UUGUGUGUGUGUGUGUGAGAGAGAGAGAGAGAGGAAACAGACCUCAAGAAGAGGAAAAUAGUUUAUAUUUGACUGAAAAAACUAAUGAAUGUAUGUAUAUUGUGUUGUGUUUAAAUGGCAAGAGAAUUGUGGCAUGGUAAAUUGGUGCUUUCACAACAAUAAAAUUAGAAUUUGUUUAGUUUGCAUGUGUAAUUGUUUUAGGCAGAAAAAGAGAGGAGACUUUAAAGAUAAUUCUAAAUAACAAACACCAAAUAAUGUAACGUUUGAGAAGGUUGAAAAUUCAAGAACUAGGGAGACUGAACAUGAUGUUUUGUUAUAUAUUUGUAAGUUUAUCAUGCAAAUAUGUAUAGAUUUUGAAUGACAAACUAAGUACCUAUGGUUUUCUAUAAUAUACUCUUCUUUUGAUGAUAAUAAUACCGUCUUUUAUUUCUUUUUCCUUUGGUUAUUUUAUAGAUAUAUAGUUAUUUUAAAUUUGGUUCUCUAUUUUUAUUGAGUAAAUUUUCUUUAUAUUUCAAAUGGUAUCAAACUAAGAAAAAAAAAUCUAACAUCCAUAUCAUAAACUAAAUUACCCAAAAACAGAAUCAAUUUAAUAUUUUAAAACCAAUUAUAUUAAAUUAUCCAAAUUAUCCGAUAUUUUAUCUGCAUACUCCAAAUUUCUCGAUAUUUUAUCAUCAAUAUCUGAAUUACUUGAUAUUUAAUUAGAAUUUAUGAAAUUAUUCAAAAUUACACAAAAUUUUAUGUAAACCACAAACCAAACUGAUCCAAACAAGACUCAAACUAGAUCCAAAAAUUUUGAGUAUUACCUGAUUUUCAAUAUUUGUUUGGAACCAGCUGAAAAAAAA